UUUAAGUAAAUUAAACAAAACUUUCAACAACGGAUCUCUUGGUUCUGGCAUCGAUGAAGAACGCAGCGAAAUGCGAUAAGUAAUGUGAAUUGCAGAAUUCAGUGAAUCAUCGAAUCUUUGAACGCACAUUGCGCCCUCUGGUAUUCCGGAGGGCAUGCCUGUUCGAGCGUCAUUUCACCACUCAAGCCUGGCUUGGUGUUGGGCGCCGCGGUGUUCCGCGCGCCUCAAAGUCUCCGGCUGAGCUGUCCGUCUCCAAGCGUUGUGAUCUCCAGAAUCGCUUCGGGGCGCGGGCGGUCGCGGCCGUUAAAUC
This 310-nucleotide ribosomal RNA is filed under the name Sphaerulina populicola. RNAcentral's name for it is "eukaryotic LSU rRNA". The stretch from base 19 to 172 matches the Rfam family "5.8S ribosomal RNA". Lineage: Eukaryota; Fungi; Ascomycota; Dothideomycetes; Mycosphaerellales; Mycosphaerellaceae. The record is from RNAcentral.